UACGAACUGUGCGAACGUUAUUCGGAAUCACUGGGCUUACAGGGUGCGUAGGCGGCUUGCUAAGUAGGGUGUGAAAGCCCCCGGCUCAACCGGGGAAUGGCGCCCUAAACUGGCGAGCUAGAGUGAGAUAGGGGUGUGUGGAACUUCCGGUGGAGCGGUGAAAUGUGUUGAUAUCGGAAGGAACGCCGGUGGCGAAAGCGACACACUGGAUCUUGUCUGACGCUGAGGCACGAAAGCCAGGGGAGCGAACGGG
This 253-nucleotide ribosomal RNA is filed under the name uncultured bacterium. RNAcentral's name for it is "partial 16S ribosomal RNA". It matches the Rfam family "Bacterial small subunit ribosomal RNA", at positions 524 to 776 of the family's 1533-position model. The record is from RNAcentral.